UUACACUGUUAAAUAUUACUGUGAUUUCACAAUACCUUACAGUAUUAUUUCACAGUAAAUUACUGUACUCAAACAUUUACUGUAAAAUCACAGUAGCUCUAUCACAUUACAGCACCUUGUUGUGAAAUUUGAAUUGCACUUGAACCGCACAGCAUUGUGGGGCGAUUUCUAACGUUCACCCCUCCCACCCGCACCUGCCACCCUCAACUGAAUUUUCAACUCAGCCGUCCACCAGUGACUUCAAUCAUCACUUUUCUGCAUGUGUAAGCUGUACAAACUCUGCCAUCAUAUCCAAGACAUUGCAUUGUGAGGACUGUUGCCCUGGGAACACUGAGCGCAUUCUCGAAAAUUCCAAAUUUGUGCCACUUCCAUACGAAGACAGCCCAGAAUAAUUGGGCUCCAUCAACCAUCCCGGGUAAAGUCGGUCUGUCCUGAUUGCACUACUUGCUAAUUGAUGACGUCUAGAAGCCAUAGCUGCUUCCCUGGCAGCCCUCACAAAUAAACUGAUACCAGGAAUUAACAUACAGUAGAUGGUGAUGGUGGUG
Sardina pilchardus (European sardine) is the source of this 545-nucleotide long non-coding RNA. RefSeq lists it as uncharacterized. NCBI's taxonomy places the organism in Eukaryota, Metazoa, Chordata, Actinopteri, Clupeiformes, Clupeidae. The record is from RefSeq and is a predicted model, not a curated record. The transcript is spliced from 4 exons.